Lacerta agilis (Sand lizard) is the source of this 1196-nucleotide long non-coding RNA. RefSeq lists it as uncharacterized. The transcript has 3 exons. Lineage: Eukaryota; Metazoa; Chordata; Lepidosauria; Squamata; Lacertidae. The record is from RefSeq and is a predicted model, not a curated record.
CUAAAAUUCUAUGAAUCUAUGCUUGAAUUUAAAGUUCAGUUAGCUUACUGCAAUGUGGAUUGGUCUGACGCAAAGAGCAAAAGGACUCCUUUUGAACGCACUCUUGCACAUUGGAAGUUAAAGCCUCAACAUUCAGACUAUUCUUAACAAUUUUGCUUAGAGAUUGUUGUCUUCUUAUAACAAUAUAUCUCUACAGCUAUUGUUUUGCAGAAUAUUCUUCUUAUUGCCUCCUCUACCCAUACUUUUUUGGUUUUUUCCCAUUUCCAUUAGCCUCUUGAACUUAUUUUCUUGAUUAAAUAUAAUUAGCUCAUUGAUUCAUUUUUAUGUAUUUGAUAUUCUGCUGUACUCCAUUAUUCCCAUUGUUCACUCUUUCACCAAAACAUUAUUUGAUAUAUCUUGUCAUAUAAGGGUGAUUUUGCAGUACUGUGUUAGUUCCUAAAUAAAGAAUUGAGGGGCAGGGAGAGAAUCCUGAAGAGGUCUCUUACGGAGGCUACAUGACUCAUUGAACCACUUUUCUCUCUGUUUAAUUUCCAGACACCAAGAAACUUUAUGAACUUAGUUCUGUGAAGAGACUCAAAAUCCCACUGAAUUCAGUGAGAUUUAUUAUGAGAACGCAUGCUUAGGGUUGCUCCUCAUAUCAUUUGGAGCACUUGCUAAGGCACACAAACUUUCUUUUCGACUUUGCUUACAUCCAGUAAUUGACACCCUUUCCUGAAAGCCAUAAGAAGGAUCAGCUUGGAGUGCCCAGUCGCCGUGGUAACUGCCAGAAAAAUUCUCCAGAAGUUUGAAGAGGUCAGCUAACAGGGUCAACAACUCUGGCCUCUUUCUGAGCUGGGGGCAGGCAGGCCCCAUCCUGCUGGCAGAAUGUUCGCCAAGGCCUAACCCUGGGAGGUGGGCCAUUCCAGCUCUGAUAUAAUUUUUUGAGUCAGUUCACGGCCUGGACUCUCCAGGUGGCCUCCAAAUCGAUGGUGACCUCUUGACCCUGUCUAACGUCGGCAUCGCAUCCAACCUAAGGAAGGAUUUAGGCAGGAAUGACAGCUUUCCACUGAGUGUUAUUGGGGACAGUACAACAGUUUGGGAAGCAAGGAGAGGGCUGCUUCCAUCCUUGUCUUCAGAUCUUGCUUUUAACAUUAAGGACAUCCUGGAUUUUUGGUGUAGAAAGGGGGCUUUUCCUUUGUGCCAAGUCAAACUCGUUU